GACGAACGCUGGCGGCGUGCUUAACACAUGCAAGUCGAACGGAAAGGCCCUGCUUUUGUGGGGUGCUCGAGUGGCGAACGGGUGAGUAACACGUGAGUAACCUGCCCUUGACUUUGGGAUAACUUCAGGAAACUGGGGCUAAUACCGGAUAGGAGCUCCUGCUGCAUGGUGGGGGUUGGAAAGUUUCGGCGGUUGGGGAUGGACUCGCGGCUUAUCAGCUUGUUGGUGGGGUAGUGGCUUACCAAGGCUUUGACGGGUAGCCGGCCUGAGAGGGUGACCGGCCACAUGGGGACUGAGAUACGGCCCAGACUCCUACGGGAGGCAGCGGUGGGGAAUAUUGCACAAUGGGCGGAAGCCUGAUGCAGCAACGCCGCGUGCGGGAUGACGGCCUUCGGGUUGUAAACCUCUUUCGCCUGUGACGAAGCGUGAGUGACGGUAAUGGGUAAAGAAGCACCGGCUAACUACGU
RNAcentral lists this ribosomal RNA (467 nucleotides) under uncultured bacterium. RNAcentral's name for it is "partial 16S ribosomal RNA". It matches the Rfam family "Bacterial small subunit ribosomal RNA", at positions 28 to 506 of the family's 1533-position model. The record is from RNAcentral.